GAUGAACGCUGGCGGCGUGCCUAAUACAUGCAAGUCGAGCGAACAGACGAUGAGCUUGCUGCUUGGACGUUAGCGGCGGACGGGUGAGUAACACGUGUAUAACCUACCUAUCAUAGUGGUAUAAUUUGGGGAAUCCGGCUCUAAUAGCGGAGAAGCUAUUGAUGCGCAUGGGUGAAUAGUGAAAGACGGUGUUGCUGGCUCGUAUAGAUGGAUCUGCGCCGCAUGAGCUAGUUGGGAAGUUAACGGGUUAUCAAGGGAACGAGGCGUAAGCGAGGUGAGAGGGUGAUCGGCCACCCUGGAGCUGAGACACGGUCCAGGCUCCUACGGGAGGCAGCAGUCGGCAACCUGCCGCAGAGGGCGAAAGCCUGGCGGAGCAACGCCGCGUGAGUGAUGACGGUCUCCGGAUCGUGAAAAUCUCUUAUUAGGGAAGAACAACUGUGUACGUAAAUAUGCACGUAUUGACGGUACCUAAUCAGAAAGCAACGGCUAACUACGUG
This 497-nucleotide ribosomal RNA is filed under the name uncultured bacterium. RNAcentral's name for it is "partial 16S ribosomal RNA". It matches the Rfam family "Bacterial small subunit ribosomal RNA", at positions 28 to 507 of the family's 1533-position model. The record is from RNAcentral.